AGGGUUUGAUUAUGGCUCAGAUUGAACGCUGGCGGCAGGCCUAACACAUGCAAGUCGAGCGGAUGACAGGAGCUUGCUCCUGAAUUCAGCGGCGGACGGGUGAGUAAUGCCUAGGAAUCUGCCUGGUAGUGGGGGACAACGUUUCGAAAGGAACGCUAAUACCGCAUACGUCCUACGGGAGAAAGCAGGGGACCUUCGGGCCUUGCGCUAUCAGAUGAGCCUAGGUCGGAUUAGCUAGUUGGUGAGGUAAUGGCUCACCAAGGCGACGAUCCGUAACUGGUCUGAGAGGAUGAUCAGUCACACUGGAACUGAGACACGGUCCAGACUCCUACGGGAGGCAGCAGUGGGGAAUAUUGGACAAUGGGCGAAAGCCUGAUCCAGCCAUGCCGCGUGUGUGAAGAAGGUCUUCGGAUUGUAAAGCACUUUAAGUUGGGAGGAAGGGCAUUAACCUAAUACGUUAGUGUUUUGACGUUACCGACAGAAUAAGCACCGGCUAACUCUGUGCCAGCAGCCGCGGUAAUACAGAGGGUGCAAGCGUUAAUCGGAAUUACUGGGCGUAAAGCGCGCGUAGGUGGUUUGUUAAGUUGGAUGUGAAAGCCCCGGGCUCAACCUGGGAACUGCAUUCAAAACUGACAAGCUAGAGUAUGGUAGAGGGUGGUGGAAUUUCCUGUGUAGCGGUGAAAUGCGUAGAUAUAGGAAGGAACACCAGUGGCGAAGGCGACCACCUGGACUGAUACUGACACUGAGGUGCGAAAGCGUGGGGAGCAAACAGGAUUAGAUACCCUGGUAGUCCACGCCGUAAACGAUGUCAACUAGCCGUUGGGAGCCUUGAGCUCUUAGUGGCGCAGCUAACGCAUUAAGUUGACCGCCUGGGGAGUACGGCCGCAAGGUUAAAACUCAAAUGAAUUGACGGGGGCCCGCACAAGCGGUGGAGCAUGUGUUUAAUUCGA
This 950-nucleotide ribosomal RNA is filed under the name uncultured Pseudomonas sp. RNAcentral's name for it is "bacterial SSU rRNA". It matches the Rfam family "Bacterial small subunit ribosomal RNA", at positions 8 to 954 of the family's 1533-position model. The record is from RNAcentral. Lineage: Bacteria; Pseudomonadati; Pseudomonadota; Gammaproteobacteria; Pseudomonadales; Pseudomonadaceae.